UAGCAUAUCAAUAAGCGCAGGAAAAGAAACCAACAGGGAUUGCCUCAGUAACGGCGAGUGAAGCGGCAACAGCUCAAAUUUGAAAUCUGGCCUCUUGGGGUCCGAGUUGUAAUUUGUAGAGGAUGUUUCGGGUACCGCCUCGGUUUAAAUUUCUUGGAACAGAAUGUCAAAGAGGGUGAGAAUCCCGUCUUGGACCGGCGGUAGGGCCUAUGUGAAACUCCUUCGACGAGUCGAGUUGUUUGGGAAUGCAGCUCAAAAUGGGUGGUAAAUUUCAUCUAAAGCUAAAUAUUGGCCAGAGACCGAUAGCGCACAAGUAGAGUGAUCGAAAGAUGAAAAGCACUUUGAAAAGAGAGUUAAACAGUAUGUGAAAUUGUUGAAAGGGAAGCGCUUGCAACCAGACUUGAGCGCGGCGGUUCCCCCUUGCUUCUGCUUGGGUUACUCCGCCGUGUCCAGGCCAACAUCGGUUCUGGGGGUCGGUCAAAGGCUCUGGGAAUGUAUCUACCCACGGGUAGACUUAUAGACCAGGGUGUCAUGCGACCUCCCGGGACCGAGGAACGCGCUUCGGCUCGGAUGUUGGCGUAAUGGUUGUCAGCGACCCGUCUUGAAACACGGACCAAGGAGUCUAACAUCUAUGCGAGUGUUUGGGUGUCAAACCCGGAACGCGGAAUGAAAGUGAACGGAGGUAGGAAGCUUCGGCUGCACUAUCGACCGAUCCUGAAGUUUACGGAUGGAUUUGAGUAAGAGCAUAGCUGUUGGGACCCGAAAGAUGGUGAACUAUGCCUGAAUAGGGUGAAGCCAGAGGAAACUCUGGUGGAGGCUCGCAGCGGUUCUGACGUGCAAAUCGAUCGUCAAAUUUGGGUAUAGGGGCGAAAGACUAAUCGAACCAUCUGGUAGCUGGUUCUGCAA
This 906-nucleotide ribosomal RNA is filed under the name Fonsecaea pedrosoi. RNAcentral's name for it is "LSU rRNA". It matches the Rfam family "Eukaryotic large subunit ribosomal RNA", at positions 36 to 962 of the family's 3401-position model. The record is from RNAcentral. Lineage: Eukaryota; Fungi; Ascomycota; Eurotiomycetes; Chaetothyriales; Herpotrichiellaceae.